UACGUAGGCAGCGAGCGUUGUUCGGAAUUACUGGGCGUAAAGAGUGUGUAGGCGGUGCUCUAAGUUCGGUGUGAAAUCUCCCGGCUUAACUGGGAGGGUGCGCCGGAAACUGGAGUGCUCGAGCGUGGGAGAGGAAAGCGGAAUUCCUGGUGUAGCGGUGAGAUGCGUAGAUAUCAGGAGGAACACCUGCGGUGUAGACGGCUUUCUGGACCAUUGCUGACGCUGAGACACGAAAGCGUGGGUAGCAAACAGG
RNAcentral lists this ribosomal RNA (253 nucleotides) under uncultured bacterium. Its description in RNAcentral is "partial 16S ribosomal RNA". It matches the Rfam family "Bacterial small subunit ribosomal RNA", at positions 524 to 776 of the family's 1533-position model. The record is from RNAcentral.